This 253-nucleotide ribosomal RNA is filed under the name uncultured bacterium. Its description in RNAcentral is "partial 16S ribosomal RNA". It matches the Rfam family "Bacterial small subunit ribosomal RNA", at positions 524 to 776 of the family's 1533-position model. The record is from RNAcentral.
UACGGGGGGGGCAAGCGUUGUUCGGAAUUACUGGGCGUAAAGGGCUCGUAGGCGGCCAACUAAGUCGGAUGUGAAAUCCCCAGGCUUAACCUGGGAACUGCAUCCGAUACUGGAUGGCUUGAAUCCGGGAGAGGGAUGCAGAAUUCCAGGUGUAGCGGUGAAAUGCGUAGAUAUCUGGAGGAACACCGAUGGCGAAGGCAGCCCCCUGGGUUAACACUGACGCUCAUGCACGAAAGCGUGGGGAGCAAACAGG